Molecule: long non-coding RNA, 210 nt
Filed under: Gossypium barbadense (sea-island cotton)
Lineage: Eukaryota; Viridiplantae; Streptophyta; Magnoliopsida; Malvales; Malvaceae
Description: long non-coding RNA (GBAR_LNC005561)
Source: RNAcentral
AGCCAUAACAAAGAAGAAGAAUAGACUUUCUUCUUCAUAAUUUCUCUCUCUACUCAUUUUUACUUCAAUCUUCCACCAUUAUUUUUUGUUUUCUUGUAAAAUCAUCCUUCAGAAAUCAUAAUAGAGCCAAGAUUCUCCACCAAACUUAUCACCCACACAUUUAGGGUUUGGGUUUGGGUUUUAGCAUGUGAAGGUUGAACUUGAGAGAGA